GUCUAAAUGAGCUCCCUGGCUUGUCUCCCUCCCCAAAUAUAUACACACAAUGACAGGUUAAGAUAAAAAUUCGUUUUAAAAGCAGCAAUUUUUUUUAUUUGACAACUAGAAAUAAGACUUUUAAAAUGCCCAUGUCUCUUUCUAGUCUAUUAACAACACAACAAUGAUGGGGAUGACCCUUUUAUAUUGUAAAUAGGACCAUGUUAUUCCUCUGCUCCAAACUUUCCAAAGUCUUUCCAUCUCAUGCAGAAUUAAAUGUCCUUACUAUGGCUUAAAAGGCCCGGCAGAAUUUGCCCUCUGUCCAUUCUCUUUGAAUUCAUCUUCUAUAUUCUUCCCCUUAAUCUCUCUAUUCCAGCCAGACCAAAAUUUCUCUUCCUUCAACACAGUCCUGCCUUAGGAUCUUACAGAGAACUUGCUUCCCCCAUCUGGAAUGCUCUUUCUUCAGCUAUCUACAUGGCUCAUUCUUUCAUCCUCUUUAAGGUUUUGCUUAAACGUUCCCUUCUCUGAUCAUGCUAUUUAAAAUUUCUGCCCUUUCUCCCACCCUUCCUGCCCUUAUUCCCUUUUCUCCACAGUGCUUAUCACUCUCUGGUAUACUAUGUGUUUUAUCUAUUUAUUUUUUUACUGUCUAUUCCCCACUAAAAAGUAAACUCCUCAUGGAUAGUGGGUUUUGACCAUUUUGGUCAUAGUAUAUCUCUAUUACAUAGAAGAGUGCCCGGAACAUAGAAAAUGCUCAGUAAAUCUUUGUUGAAAGAAUUACUACUGUUUUAUCUGAUGUUAAAACAUGUAUCACUUAUAUAAGCAUGAAACUGUCAGUCUAUCCCUAAUCUGGAAGAUUCUCAAACAUGAAGAGCCAAGGGGAUAAGAAAGUUGUUGCUAAAUCCGCAUCCAUUAGGCACUUUAAUUAGAUUCUUUAUUCACUUUUAAAAAUAUUGAACUGUCUAAAGACAUGCCAAUGCCUUGAGUAUACCAACAAUGAUUCACCUGGGAUAAUUCGUCUUGUUCUACAUUCCACACCCAUCCCCAAUAAUGAAAACUGAAACAGUAUGAAAUAGCACAGAUAUAAUGCCCUCAUAUCACUAUCUACUGGAGUUGUCCAUUUUGAAAAUAUUGUUGUUACACUUGGAAUGUAGUAUGUAUCAGCUACAUAGUAACUCUGCCCAGGUUAGUUGAAGAAUAAAACAUUGAGGGAUCCCACUGAAAAGUAUCUUCUUUAAAGCAUGCAUUGGAGAAUUAGCAGGAGUGAAUCAAGUUUUUCUUGCUUAUUCUUUUACGUCUGGACAAUGAUUUACUUGGUGUCUUGUAGAUUUGUCUAUGUUCAUUUUAUCCUCAGGACUUUCUUCAGUGCAACCUUCAUUUCUUUGUUUCCUAAACU
Molecule: long non-coding RNA, 1372 nt
Filed under: Equus asinus (donkey)
Lineage: Eukaryota; Metazoa; Chordata; Mammalia; Perissodactyla; Equidae
Description: lncRNA (ENSEASG00005028873.1)
Source: RNAcentral